This is a long non-coding RNA of Pezoporus occidentalis (night parrot), 1695 nucleotides long. RefSeq lists it as uncharacterized. The record is from RefSeq and is a predicted model, not a curated record. Lineage: Eukaryota; Metazoa; Chordata; Aves; Psittaciformes; Psittacidae. The transcript is spliced from 2 exons.
CUGCCAGCUUCUAAGUCAGACUGAGCUUCCAAGUCAGAUCAUUCCACUUGGGCUCAUAUCUAUGGAUUUCAAAGGAAGCACUUGGUGCUGGGAUGCCUGUGCAACGUGUGUUGCGCUAUCUGUCCUUGUGUCACCUUUCGUAACAUUUCAACAAACCAGUUCCCUUCUCUUUUUUUUUUUUUUCAGGAAUUUCCAAAUCCUUUGGCAUUCAAUUGCAAAGAACUGGAGCCAAACUGCAGCAGGACCCAGUGUCGCAAGGCUGUUGAGCCCCAGCUCCAGGGCAGUGCUUCACCUACCCGUUGCCAUUUUGUCCUGAAGCACAACCCAGAAGUAAGUGGUGUUGCCUCUGCCAUUCAAAGGAGCACAUUUUAGCCUUUCUCGGCUGAUUUUGGGCAACUGCUACUAGUAAUUCUGUCAGCUUUACACUGUGUGAAUGCACAGGUCCCUAAUGGGAGACUUUUCCCCCAAACCCACAGUGCCAACUGCAAAGCAGGGCCUGCUUCAGGAGGAAUUCUAAGGAGAUCCAUGGCAGCAUUAUUCAUCUGUGCUUUGGGCUAAUGCAAGUCUUUCUGCAUCAGAAUUGGAAAGGGUACAGUCCUGUCAUCUACAGUAGCCGCUGACAUGGCUUUUACAACUAAGGUUAUGAAAUUGUGCCAUUAAAUCCCUGAGAAUUGUAAAGUAUGGAGGUUUUCUAAGGGGAAAAGCUGCUCUUGAACCGGAUGUGCAGUGAUAAGACUGUUAAGAACCUACAAAUACAGGUCCUGAAACGUGUGUGUAAUACCUGGUUUGCCAUCGGUGUCCAGAUCAGCUCAGCUAAAGCCAGAUUUUUCCCCCAUCUCACAGCUGGAAAGUGAACCACACUAAAAACACGACAGCCUCUUUGGGUUCUAAAAGUUCCUGGGCAGAAAAGGCAGUAAAUCAGCAUUAACAAUGGGAAACAGAUUGGUAAAGCCCAGCAUGGACAGUAAGUUAGCCCUGUGAUCUGAGGUGCUGAUGAAAUCAUCUCCCUGGAAGAGGUAAGCAUCUAAGCUGAAGACUAACCAUGCUCCAUCAGGGUUAAGCACAACAGGCAGCUGGAAAUACCCUGGGUUUUGCAGUUUUCCCUACCCUCCUAUGCUCUCUCUGAGGGGACAGAGCAGAUGGGGAUUGCAGAGCUCUUUCCCCUGCUCAGUGUGACUAAAGGUGACUCUGGCCCUUGCAGUGAGGGCCGUCUCCCUCCCCCAGAUCAAUAUUUUAAUAGGACUUAUCAGAGAGAGAAGGAAAUGUUUACUUUCAAAGCUCAGGAUCCCAUAAAGGGAAGGGAAAAGUGGCCCCUGGGAGCAGAGCUUUCCACAGCUCCCCACUGCUGGUGACUCCCAAAAGGAACCCAGUUCCUCCAAGGACCCCCCAAAGCUGCAACAGCACCUCAGUCCUGCCAAGCCCUAAGGACACACCAGAGAAUCACUCGGCAGCUGGCUCAGGUCUCUGAAGCCCCCCGCUGAGGUCUGCCAUGUACCUAUAGCACUCCUUCCAUGGCCUAAGGAUCUCCUACCUCCAGAGCUGUGGAGUGUGACAAUGGUGUUUGUGUCCAGUCUAUCAAACGCCAUUAUCACACUAAAUAGCUACUGGUGGACAAGACAUCAGUUCAGAGCAGGGCGUGAGCAGCAGCAAUGGGCUCUCCACCACUACGAGGAAUAAAUGACCUUCCUACGUGCA